GAUGAACGCUGGCGGCGUGCCUAAUACAUGCAAGUCGAGCGAAUGGAUUAAGAGCUUGCUCUUAUGAAGUUAGCGGCGGACGGGUGAGUAACACGUGGGUAACCUGCCCAUAAGACUGGGAUAACUCCGGGAAACCGGGGCUAAUACCGGAUAACAUUUUGAACCGCAUGGUUCGAAAUUGAAAGGCGGCUUCGGCUGUCACUUAUGGAUGGACCCGCGUCGCAUUAGCUAGUUGGUGAGGUAACGGCUCACCAAGGCAACGAUGCGUAGCCGACAUGGGAGGGGGAUCGGCCACACUGGGACUGAGACACGGCCCAGACUCCGACGGGAGGCAGCAGUAGGGAAUCUUCCGCAAUGGACGAAAGUCUGACGGAGUAACGCCGCGUGAGUGAUGAAGGCUUUCGGGUCGUAAAACUCUGUUGUUAGGGAAGAACAAGUGCUAGUUGAAUAAGCUGGCACCUUGACGGUACCUAACCAGAAAGCCACGGCUAACUACGUGCCAGCAGCCGCCGCAG
RNAcentral lists this ribosomal RNA (515 nucleotides) under uncultured bacterium. RNAcentral describes it as "partial 16S ribosomal RNA". It matches the Rfam family "Bacterial small subunit ribosomal RNA", at positions 28 to 523 of the family's 1533-position model. The record is from RNAcentral.